CGGGACGGGUGAGUAAUGUCUGGGAAACUGCCUGAUGGAGGGGGAUAACUACUGGAAACGGUAGCUAAUACCGCAUAACGUCGCAAGACCAAAGAGGGGGACCUUCGGGCCUCUUGCCAUCGGAUGUGCCCAGAUGGGAUUAGCUAGUAGGUGGGGUAACGGCUCACCCAGGCGACGAUCCCUAGCUGGUCUGAGAGGAUGACCAGCCACACUGGAACUGAGACACGGUCCAG
RNAcentral lists this ribosomal RNA (233 nucleotides) under uncultured bacterium. RNAcentral's name for it is "partial 16S ribosomal RNA". It matches the Rfam family "Bacterial small subunit ribosomal RNA", at positions 100 to 334 of the family's 1533-position model. The record is from RNAcentral.